RNAcentral lists this ribosomal RNA (439 nucleotides) under uncultured bacterium. RNAcentral's name for it is "bacterial SSU rRNA". It matches the Rfam family "Bacterial small subunit ribosomal RNA", at positions 339 to 773 of the family's 1533-position model. The record is from RNAcentral.
GUACGGGAGGCAGCAGGGGGAAUAUUGCACAAUGGGCGCAAGCCUGAUGCAGCCAUGCCGCGUGUAUGAAGAAGGCCUUCGGGUUGUAAAGUACUUUCAGUCGUGAGGAAGGUGUUAAGGUUAAUAACCUUAGCAAUUGACGUUAGCGACAGAAGAAGCACCGGCUAACUCCGUGCCAGCAGCCGCGGUAAUACGGAGGGUGCGAGCGUUAAUCGGAAUUACUGGGCGUAAAGGGCACGCAGGCGGUUAAUUAAGUUGGAUGUGAAAUCCCCGGGCUUAACCUGGGAAUGGCAUUCAAGACUGGUUAGCUAGAGUCUUGUAGAGGGGGUAGAAUUCCAUGUGUAGCGGUGAAAUGCGUAGAGAUGUGGAGGAAUACCGGUGGCGAAGGCGGCCCCUGGACAAAGACUGACGCUCAUGUGCGAAAGCGUGGGGAGCAAAC